CUUCACUUCAUCCUUUCUUCCACAGCCGAGUGGUUCCCAACCACGCAGACCGGACUGAAUUACUUCUCAGGCAGCUCACCCCUCUCCAGCAGCAAUACCUCCUUGGUCCAUCAGGAUCCCUCUACCUCCAGUGUGGAGAGCAGACAGCUGGGGAGACGAGCCAGGAGGCCACCGCAGCCAGGCAGAAGAGAGAUGGUGACAGCAGGGACCAGGGUGCUGACUGUGGAAGUGGCAAGGAACCGUCAGGGGCGCGAUGAGGUAAAGAAACUGAAGCUUUCUCGAGUUCAGCAAAUUCCUAGUCAGAAUGCAGUUGUGGGUUGCUGAUCACAUUCUGACGACUCGAGCUUGACCGUAGGCAAAGGCUGACACAGAACCCACAAGUCAACAAGUGAACAAAGCGGCAGUCCAGCGUGCUGGCGGGAGAGAAAGGGCUCCCCUCCUCCUCCUCAGCCCCCUCUCUCCAUUCAUCUCCCCUUUGCACCCUUAAUAAAAGCCCGGAGAUUGA
This is a long non-coding RNA of Peromyscus californicus insignis, 505 nucleotides long. RefSeq lists it as uncharacterized. The record is from RefSeq and is a predicted model, not a curated record. The transcript has 3 exons. Lineage: Eukaryota; Metazoa; Chordata; Mammalia; Rodentia; Cricetidae.